RNAcentral lists this ribosomal RNA (119 nucleotides) under Salmo salar (Atlantic salmon). The record is from RNAcentral. Lineage: Eukaryota; Metazoa; Chordata; Actinopteri; Salmoniformes; Salmonidae.
GCUUACGGCCAUAUCAGCCUGGGUACUCCCGAUCUCGUCUGAUCUCGGAAGCUAAGUAGGGUCGGGCCUGGUUAGUACUUGGAUGGUAGACCGCCUGGGAAUACAAGGUGUUGUAAGCA